Molecule: ribosomal RNA, 477 nt
Filed under: uncultured organism
Description: partial 16S ribosomal RNA
Rfam family: Bacterial small subunit ribosomal RNA
Source: RNAcentral
UACACUCCUGCGGGAGGCAGCAGUGGGGAAUAUUGCACAAUGGGCGCAAGCCUGAUGCAGCCAUGCCGCGUGUAUGAAGAAGGCCUUCGGGUUGUAAAGUACUUUCAGCGGGGAGGAAGGCGAUAAGGUUAAUAACCUUGUUGAUUGACGUUACCCGCAGAAGAAGCACCGGCUAACUCCGUGCCAGCAGCCGCGGUAAUACGGAGGGUGCAAGCGUUAAGCGGAAUUACUGGGCGUAAAGCGCACGCAGGCGGUCUGUCAAGUCGGAUGUGAAAUCCCCGGGCUCAACCUGGGAACUGCAUUCGAAACUGGCAGGCUAGAGUCUUGUAGAGGGGGGUAGAAUUCCAGGUGUAGCGGUGAAAUGCGUAGAGAUCUGGAGGAAUACCGGUGGCGAAGGCGGCCCCCUGGCCAAAGACUGACGCUCAGGUGCGAAAGCGUGGGGAGCAAACAGGAUUAGAAACCCCGGUAGUCCCAUGA